GCUGGGCAUAGUGGUGUAUGCCUGUAAUCCCAGCUAUUUGGGAGGCUGAGGCAGGAGAAUCACUUGAGCCUGGGAGGCGGCGAUUGCAGUGAGCUGAGAUCACGCCACUGCACUCCAGCCUGGGCGACAGAGUGAGACUCUAUCUCAA
Pongo abelii (Sumatran orangutan) is the source of this 148-nucleotide unclassified non-coding RNA. It matches the Rfam family "Metazoan signal recognition particle RNA". From Rfam's summary of the family: The signal recognition particle (SRP) is a universally conserved ribonucleoprotein. It is involved in the co-translational targeting of proteins to membranes. The eukaryotic SRP consists of a 300-nucleotide 7S RNA and six proteins: SRPs 72, 68, 54, 19, 14, and 9. NCBI's taxonomy places the organism in Eukaryota, Metazoa, Chordata, Mammalia, Primates, Hominidae. The record is from Ensembl.